This 328-nucleotide ribosomal RNA is filed under the name uncultured eukaryote. RNAcentral describes it as "partial 18S ribosomal RNA". It matches the Rfam family "Eukaryotic small subunit ribosomal RNA", at positions 1470 to 1796 of the family's 1831-position model. The record is from RNAcentral.
CCCUUAGAUGUCCGGGGCUGCACGCGAGCUACACUGAAGGAAUCAGCGUGCUAAAACCAUUGUCGAAAGGCAUUGGUAAACCCAUUAAAAUCCUACGUGAUUGGGAUCGGGAAUUGCAAUUAUUUCCCUUGAACGAGGAAUUCCCAGUAAGUGUGGGUCAUAAGCUCGCGUUGAUUACGUCCCUGCCCUUUGUACACACCGCCCGUCGCUGCCCGGGACUGAGCCGUUUCGAGAAAAGCGGGGACUGCUGCUGUCGGGGCUUUCGGGCCUUGGCUUCGGUGGAAACCGCUUUAAUCGCAGUGGCUUGAACCGGGCAAAAGUCGUAACA